GAUGAAGAACGUAGCGAAAUGCGAUACGUAAUGAGAAUUGCAGAAUUCAGUGAAUCAUCGAGUCUUUGAACGCACAUUGCGCCCUCUGGUAUUCCGGAGGGCAUGCCUGUCCGAGCGUCAUUGCUGCCCUCAAGCACGGCUUGUGUGUUGGGCUCCGUCCCCCGAUCCCGGGGGACGGGCCCGAAAGGCAGCGGCGGCACCGCGUCCGGUCCUCGAGCGUAUGGGGCUUUGUCACCCGCUCUGUAGGCCCGGCCGGCGCUUGCCGAUCAACCAAAUUUUUAUCCAGGUUGACCUCGGAUCAGGUAGGGAUACCCGCUGAACUUAAGCAUAUCAAUAAGCGGAGGA
Molecule: unclassified non-coding RNA, 345 nt
Filed under: soil metagenome
Description: partial contains 5.8S ribosomal RNA, internal transcribed spacer 2, and large subunit ribosomal RNA
Rfam family: 5.8S ribosomal RNA (bases 1-120)
Source: RNAcentral